RNAcentral lists this ribosomal RNA (539 nucleotides) under Penicillium thomii. RNAcentral's name for it is "eukaryotic LSU rRNA". The stretch from base 164 to 317 matches the Rfam family "5.8S ribosomal RNA". The record is from RNAcentral. Lineage: Eukaryota; Fungi; Ascomycota; Eurotiomycetes; Eurotiales; Aspergillaceae.
UGAGCCUCUGGGUCACCUCCCACCCGUGUUUAUUGUACCUUGUUGCUUCGGUGCGCCCGCCUCACGGCCGCCGGGGGGCUUCUGCCCCCGGGUCCGCGCGCACCGGAGACACCAUUGAACUCUGUCUGAAGAUUGCAGUCUGAGCAUAAACUAAAUAAGUUAAAACUUUCAACAACGGAUCUCUUGGUUCCGGCAUCGAUGAAGAACGCAGCGAAAUGCGAUAACUAAUGUGAAUUGCAGAAUUCAGUGAAUCAUCGAGUCUUUGAACGCACAUUGCGCCCCCUGGUAUUCCGGGGGGCAUGCCUGUCCGAGCGUCAUUGCUGCCCUCAAGCACGGCUUGUGUGUUGGGCUCCGUCCCCCCGGGGACGGGUCCGAAAGGCAGCGGCGGCACCGAGUCCGGUCCUCGAGCGUAUGGGGCUUUGUCACCCGCUCUGUAGGCCCGGCCGGCGCCAGCCGACAACCAAUCAUCCUUUUUUCAGGUUGACCUCGGAUCAGGUAGGGAUACCCGCUGAACUUAAGCAUAUCAAUAAGCGGAGGAA